RNAcentral lists this non-coding RNA (210 nucleotides) under human gut metagenome. The record is from RNAcentral.
CAGAGUAGGAGCAGUGCGUCAAGUGCAGCGGGAUGGGAAGUUGCCCGCUGACGAAGAACGUCAAGUCACUCGCGGCAAAGCCAAGCGAAGCGGAUUUGCAGCGAAGAAGGAGGAUUGCUUGUGCCGGUCGAUCUGAUGCCGCUUGCGGUAUCAGAUGACCUUGCCCAAGCAAUCCGACGCAGCGUCGCGGUACUGUCUCCGCUUCCGCUG